GACCCUACGGGAGGCAGCAGUGAGGAAUAUUGGUCAAUGGCCGGAAGGCUGAACCAGCCAAGCCGCGUGAAGGACGAAGGUGCCAAGCAUUGUAAACUUCUUUUGUCAAGGGACAAAAUCAGGCUCGAGAGCCUGACCGAGGGUACUUGAAGAAAAAGCAUCGGCUAACUCCGUGCCAGCAGCCGCGGUAAUACGGAGGAUGCGAGCGUUAUCCGGAUUUAUUGGGUUUAAAGGGUGCGUAGGCGGGCUGUUAAGUCAGCGGUAAAAGCCCGGGGCUCAACCCCGGUACUGCAUUUGAAACUGUC
RNAcentral lists this ribosomal RNA (305 nucleotides) under uncultured bacterium. Its description in RNAcentral is "bacterial SSU rRNA". It matches the Rfam family "Bacterial small subunit ribosomal RNA", at positions 334 to 637 of the family's 1533-position model. The record is from RNAcentral.